Molecule: ribosomal RNA, 490 nt
Filed under: Catenaria anguillulae
Lineage: Eukaryota; Fungi; Blastocladiomycota; Blastocladiomycetes; Blastocladiales; Catenariaceae
Description: partial large subunit ribosomal RNA
Rfam family: Eukaryotic large subunit ribosomal RNA
Source: RNAcentral
UCACCAUGGGCAUGUUUGUGAAUGUAAAGUCCACUGGGAAUGUGGCAGCGCUUCGGCGUUCUUUGGGUCAGAGAGGGUGAAAACCCCGUUUACAUUCAUGAGCGUGUCUGUUGUGUGAGCGUGUUAAAGAGUCGGAUUGUUUGGGAAUGCAAUCCAAAACGGGUGGUAAAUUCCAUCCAAGACUAAAUAUUAGCAAGAGACCGAUAGCGAACAAGUACCGUGAGGGAAAGAUGAAAAGCGCUCUGAUUUACAGAGAUUGAUAGUACUUUGUUGAAUUUGCUCAAAGAGAUGGUUUUGAUAUUACCGCGCGUGCAUUGUAACCNNUUGCGGCCUGUCUUAAAGGUGAAGGGCGGGAGGGGAAUUAUCUCCCGAGUGGUGAUUGGCGUUCUUCCAAGAAAGCCACUUCNUUUUUUUGGGUUGGCGUAAAAACAAGNNAGUUUAANNGAGGGUGGGGGGGGGGGGGUCACCCCCCCCCCCGCCCUCAAAAAAA